GAUGAAGAACGUAGCGAAAUGCGAUAAGUAAUGUGAAUCGCAGAAUUCAGUGAAUCAUCGAAUCUUUGAACGCACAUUGCGCCCCUUGGUAUUCCGAGGGGCAUGCCUGUUCGAGCGUCAUUAUAACCCCUCAAGCUCAGCUUGGUGUUGGGGCCUGCUGCACUGGCAGCCCUUAAAAUCAGUGGCGGCGCCAUCUGGCUCUAAGCGUAGUAAUUCUUCUCGCUAUGGAGUCCUGGUGGAUGCUUGCCAUCAACCCCCAAUUUUUCUAUGGUUGACCUCGGAUCAGGUAGGGAUACCCGCUGAACUUAAGCAUAUCAAUAAGCGGAGGA
This 329-nucleotide unclassified non-coding RNA is filed under the name soil metagenome. RNAcentral describes it as "partial contains 5.8S ribosomal RNA, internal transcribed spacer 2, and large subunit ribosomal RNA". The stretch from base 1 to 120 matches the Rfam family "5.8S ribosomal RNA", at positions 35 to 154 of the family's 154-position model. The record is from RNAcentral.